This 255-nucleotide long non-coding RNA is filed under the name Carica papaya (papaya). Its description in RNAcentral is "long non-coding RNA (CPAP_LNC015928)". Lineage: Eukaryota; Viridiplantae; Streptophyta; Magnoliopsida; Brassicales; Caricaceae. The record is from RNAcentral.
UAAUUGUUAUAUUAGUCCUCAAGGGAAGAUAUCCGAAUUUACCGCUAUGGUACAUGUUCGAACUAGUGCACUUGCUAGUGAGUUCACAUCACAACAAUAAUUAUUAGUAGGAAUGUUGUAUUUGAUGAAGAUGCAAGCUGGAGUUUGGAAAAAAAAAAUCAGAUAGCAUUUAGUUUGAAGUUCCACUUGAAAAUAAAGCUCCACUAACUAAUGGACAACAACCAACUCCUUUAAAUACUUCCAGCUCACCUUCUU